GCACAUAUUGGGUGGCGUGCACAAGAAGAUUACAAUUUCAAUUAGGAAGGAGGGGCAUUCAAUUGAAUUGGUGGUGCACACAAGAAGAGAAACAGCGCAGAUGCACCUCUCGGUCAAAGGGGCUGCACCAUUCUCCAUUUUUAUUUUCCUUUGAAUCAAACACUUGGAAGUUCAACAUGUCUCGGUCAAGAGGUUUUUCUUAGGUCAUUUUGCAAUUUUAAUUUCUUUUGGUAGAUUUAAUUGAGUGUUGGAUAUUAAAUCAUUUUAAUUAUGUCUGGAUAUUUGUCUAUUGCAAUGUUGGGUUUAGUAAUUUCUUUUACUUUAAUGUUUUCUAUCUUAUUCGGUUGUGUUUAAUUUCCAUGCACUUUAAUUGAGUUUAAUUCUCGUCUCAAACACUUUCAAACCCCCCCCUACUGUGUGUGUUAGACCUAAUUCUCGAACCACAUUUGGUCCUUGAGAGACGACCUAGGAGUCACUUCCUAGUCUAUAUUGCAUUUCUAAUAUGCAAUUAAAUUUGUAUGGGCCGCGACAGCCCAUCACACGCC
Molecule: long non-coding RNA, 545 nt
Filed under: Vigna radiata
Lineage: Eukaryota; Viridiplantae; Streptophyta; Magnoliopsida; Fabales; Fabaceae
Description: long non-coding RNA (VRAD_LNC002135)
Source: RNAcentral